UGGGGAAUAUUGCACAAUGGGCGGAAGCCUGAUGCAGCGACGGGCGCGGCGGGGAGGGGUGNGCCUNNGGGUUGUAAACUNCUCCUUUCGACAGGGACGAACUUUUGUGACGGUACCUGUAUAAGAAGCACCGGCUAACUACGUGCCAGCAGCCGCGGUAAUACGUAGGGUGCGAGCGUUGUCCGGAAUUACUGGGCGUAAAGAGCUCGUAGGUGGUUUGUCGCGUCGUCUGUGAAAUUCCGGGGCUUAACUCCGGGCGUGCAGGCGAUACGGGCUGACUUGAGUGCUGUAGGGGAGACUGGAAUUCCUGGUGUAGCGGUGAAAUGCGCAGAUAUCAGGAGGAACACCGAUGGCGAAGGCGACUUUCUGGUCUGUAACUGACGCUGAUGUGCGAAAGCGUGGGGAUCAAACAGGAUUAGAUACCCUGGUAGUCCACGCCGUAAACGAUGAGUGCUAAGUGUUAGGGGGUUUCCGCCCCUUAGUGCUGCAGCUAACGCAUUAAGCACUCCGCCUGGGGAGUACGACCGCAAGGUUG
This 535-nucleotide ribosomal RNA is filed under the name uncultured bacterium. RNAcentral describes it as "bacterial SSU rRNA". It matches the Rfam family "Bacterial small subunit ribosomal RNA", at positions 355 to 896 of the family's 1533-position model. The record is from RNAcentral.